GAGUGUUUAUGGUUGGGUUGAGACACAUUCAGGAGCUGAGUGAUUGACAGCAAGAGGAGCAAGACAUGAGGUUAAUAAUUAUCAAAUAUAUGGCAAUGCUGGACUUUAGCUGAUGAUCGUGCUUCUGGAAAACAACAAAAAUUGAGAUAUCUUUUCACCACUUUGUGUGUCCAAGGACCACCUACUUUUUACAUGUGACAAGAACUACCCACCUCCACUCUUCAGGAUAGAACAUGCUGAAGAAAAGAGUUGCAAUGAGAAAAUAUAUGGGAACAAAAUACCUGUGCAAUGCAGAGGUCUGCAUAACUGAACCACUCAGAGGAAAAAAUUUCCCUCCCAGGCUGGAGUACAAUGGCGCGACCUCGGCUCACUGCAACUUCCAUCUCCCAGGUUCAAGCAAUUCUCCCACCUCAGCCUCCUUACUAGCUGGGAUUACAAGCGCCUGACACCAGGCCCAGCUAUUUUUGUAUUUUUAGUAGAGACGGGGUUUCACCAUUUUGACUAGGCUGGUCUCAAACUCCUGACCUCAGUCCAUCGGUCCACCUCGGCCUCCCAAAGUGCUGGGAUUGCAGGCAUGAGCCACCGCUCCUGGCCUCAAGUUUAAUUCUUAAAUUGCCAUUUCAGGACACCUCCUACAUCUGAAGAAAUAUGCAUUGAUCUUGCAGAACUUUUCUCCUCCAAAUAAAAGUCAGUAUGAUAACAACUACACUAUCAGAAGUCUAAGCCAAAGGACACUUCAGUUAUCCAAUCUUGCAACAAAUACAUUUAAGCACUUAAUAUGGGCUACUGUUGGUACUAGGGGCAUUGAGAACUUCAGAUUUGAUUAACACCCAAGAGCUGCUACCAUAAAAUAAACUAGGCAGCUACUAGGC
RNAcentral lists this long non-coding RNA (872 nucleotides) under Pan troglodytes (chimpanzee). RNAcentral's name for it is "lincRNA". Lineage: Eukaryota; Metazoa; Chordata; Mammalia; Primates; Hominidae. The record is from RNAcentral.